UACGGGGGGAGCAAGCGUUGUUCGGAUUUACUGGGCGUAAAGGGCGCGUAGGUGGUUGAUCAAGUCUGGGGUGAAAUCUUUCGGCUUAACCGGAAAAGUGCCUUGGAUACUGAUCAGCUGGAGGGAGGUAGGGGCAGUUGGAACUUCCAGGUGGAGCGGUGAAAUGCGUUGAUAUUGGAAGGAACGCCGGUGGCGAAAGCGAGCUGCUGGACCUCUUCUGACACUGAGGCGCGAAAGCUGAGGGGCAGCAAAGCGGGAGU
Molecule: ribosomal RNA, 260 nt
Filed under: uncultured bacterium
Lineage: Bacteria
Description: partial 16S ribosomal RNA
Rfam family: Bacterial small subunit ribosomal RNA
Source: RNAcentral